GGAAGUUUGGGUGAGUGGCUGAAACCACCAGUUUGCUAAACUGACGUACGGGCAACCGUACCGGGGGUUCGAAUCCCCCAGCUUCCGCCA
This 90-nucleotide transfer RNA is filed under the name Bacteroidaceae bacterium. RNAcentral describes it as "tRNA-Ser". It matches the Rfam family "tRNA". From Rfam's summary of the family: Transfer RNA (tRNA) molecules are approximately 80 nucleotides in length. Their secondary structure includes four short double-helical elements and three loops (D, anti-codon, and T loops). Lineage: Bacteria; Pseudomonadati; Bacteroidota; Bacteroidia; Bacteroidales; Bacteroidaceae. The record is from RNAcentral.